AUGGCGUCGCCGCGCCGGAAUGCCUCCCAUGGGGCGGCGGCGGGGAGGGAGGCGGCGCGGUCGGACUCGUCGCCGUACACCCCCGCGACGCCCCGGUCGCGGUUCGCGGCGGAGUUCUCGCCCGAGGCGUUCGACGAGCCGGGGGCCGGGGAGGUGCCGUCGGCCAAGGAGAGUGUCACCGCCACCGUCCGCUUCCGGCCGCUCAGCUCGCGGGAGAUUCGGCAGGGGGAGGAGAUCGCGUGGUACGCGGACGGCGAGACCAUCGUGCGGAGCGAGCACAAUCCCAACAUCGCUUAUGCAUACGAUCGUGUGUUUGGACCAACUACGACGACACAACAGGUAUAUGAUGUUGCGGCUCAACAUGUUGUCAGUGGUGCCAUGCAAGGAAUAAAUGGAACAAUAUUUGCAUAUGGGGUUACAAGCAGUGGGAAGACACAUACGAUGCAUGGAGAUCAAAGAUCCCCAGGGAUUAUACCUUUGGCCGUGAAAGAUGCGUUUGGCAUAAUACAAGAGACCCUGAAUCGGGAGUUUCUUCUUCGUGUGUCAUACUUGGAAAUUUAUAACGAGGUUGUGAACGAUCUCCUAAAUCCUGCAGGGAAGAAUUUACGAGUUAGGGAGGAUCUUCAGGGAACAUUUGUUGAGGGCAUAAAGGAAGAAGUAGUGUUAUCUCCUACCCAUGUUUUGUCCCUUAUUGCAGCCGGAGAAGAGCAUAGGCAUGUUGGAUCCACUAACUUUAAUCUUCUAAGUAGCAGAAGCCACACAAUUUUCACACUGACAGUAGAGAGCAGCCCCUGCUGUGAGUCUAAUGAAGGAGAAACAGUUACUUUUUCGCAGCUGAACCUCAUCGAUCUGGCAGGUUCAGAGAGUUCAAGGGCUGAAACAACAGGAGCACGCCGGAAGGAAGGGUCUUAUAUUAAUAAAAGUCUGCUGACUCUUGGAACGGUGAUAUCAAAAUUGACUGAUGGAAAAGCUACUCAUGUUCCAUUUCGAAACUCAAAAUUAACACGUUUACUGCAGUCAUCCUUGAGUGGCCAAGGACGUGUUUCUCUGAUUUGCACGGUUACUCCAGCAUCGAGCAACUCUGAAGAAACUCAUAAUACGUUAAAAUUUGCCCACCGCUCAAAGCACAUUGAGAUCCAAGCAUUACAAAACAAGAUUAUUGAUGAGAAAUCUCUAAUAAAGAAGUACCAAAGUGAAAUUCGUCAACUAAGGGAAGAGCUAGAACAGCUGAAAAGAGGGAUCUUUACUGCCACUCCUUUGGAAGAUGUCACAGAAGAUAAUAUCAUUCUUUGGAAACAGAAGCUAGAAGAUGGUAAUGUCAAGCUUCAGUCUAGACUGGAACAAGAAGAAGAAGCCAAAGCUGCUUUGCUUGGCAGGAUACAGCGUCUAACAAAACUAAUCCUGGUUUCCACCAGAGCAACCCAGACUACUAGAUCAUCUCAACAUCCUGGCACAAGGCGCAGACAUUCUUUUGGUGAAGGAGAGCUGGCAUAUCUCCCACAUAGAAGGCGAGAUAUUAUCGUGAAUAGCGAUAGAAAUGAGCUGGUUAUGCCGAGGGAAGGAUUUGGUGAAGCACUUGAAAUGUCUCCUAAGGAGGAGAAGCAAAGUCGUAAAGGACUCCUUAACUGGUUCAAACUUCGGAAGCGUGAUAGUGGUUCUGCUACCCUGGCAUGUUCUGAUGGUGGUAAAUCUAGUUUGACCAAAUCAUUCACUGCUCCUUCAAAACGUCUGGAGGAUGGGAUUAAUUUUCUAUCAGAACAGAGGACGUGGAAUUCUAUGCUUGAUGAGAAUGUACCAGCUGAUUUUUUGAGUGUUGACCUAGGAAUUCCUUCUGACAGCUCUCCUCUAGAAGAUAUACUGUCCGUACAAAGUGUCAGCAGAAAAAGAGAAAUCUUAGAUGAUGUUGAUCUAUUGAGGGAGCAGUUAAAGAUUUCGUCAGGGGAGGCUGUGCUCCACGCAAAUGUUGUAAAGCACCUCACAGAGGAAGCUGGAAUAAGCGGAAUGAGCAAACAGAUUGAGAUGGAAAGGAUGGCCAAUGAUGAGAUUAAAUGCAAGCAGCAGAUAGUAUCUUUGGAAAAUCAGAAUGCUCAUUCAGUGGCAGACAGUCAAGAAAAGCUUGACAUUUCAGAACUUUCACCGUAUUACGCUAAGAUACUUAAGCAACUCAAUGAGAAGGCCUUUCAACUUGAGGUGAAAACAGCAGAUAACAGGAUACUGGAAGACCAGCUAGAGAAAAAGGCAAGCGAAUGUGAAGAGUUGCAAGAAACGGUUGUUUACUUGAAAGAACUGAUCGUCCAAGCUCUUCAAAUUGACGAGUUUUUACCAGAAAGAAUCAGAUUGCAGCAGCAAACAGGCAUCGGCCAUGACGUUGGAUCACAAGGUCAUAAUGAUAAUCCAUUAUCCAGUGAUGUAUCUGAAAAACCACUGGAGAACACAUCGCAGUCAGAGAUCGACGAACUGAAGCAGAAACUGUGCGAACUCACUGAAGCCAAAGCUCAGCUAGAGGUCCGUAACCAGGAACUUCUCGAGGAAAGCAUGUACGCCAAGGGCCUGGCCUCAGCCGCGGGUGUCGAACUGAGAGCACUUUCUGAAGAAGUCACCAAACUCGUCAAGCAGAAUGAGAAGCUUGCCAGCGAGGUGAAGUCAGCGAGAAACUCGACUCCACGAAGAGCAAGCCAUAGCCCGAAGGCAGCUCGAAAGGGCAGCCACGUCGAACGGCACGAACCGGGUGGUAAGAGAGACACGAACUCAAGCAGCCAGAGGGAGCAAGCUCUGGAGGCCAUGCUCGCGGAGAAGGACCAGAGAGAAGCUGAACUCGAGAAGAAAAUCGAGGAGUCGAAGCAGAAGGAGGCCUUCCUGGAGGGCGAGCUCGCAAAUAUAUGGACCUUGGUGGCGAAACUGAGGAAAGCCGAGGGAAAUUGCAAAGAUGAUUCAGAUGCCAUACACACGAUUGUAUAG
This 2958-nucleotide ribosomal RNA is filed under the name Triticum aestivum (bread wheat). RNAcentral's name for it is "partial small subunit ribosomal RNA". Lineage: Eukaryota; Viridiplantae; Streptophyta; Magnoliopsida; Poales; Poaceae. The record is from RNAcentral.